UGGUGUUGUGUCUAAAAACUUACUUCCAAGUGAUAAAGGCCAAGAUGGAGCGAAUGGUAGACUCAUUCAAGUCAUAACAGCGGGCAAUCUCCACAAUUUUCUUGCUGUCUUUGAUCAUAUGCAAGAGUUUCACCUUCUCCUGGAUGGUUUUUAUGUGCUGGAAUCAACUCUGAAAUAUUUACAGGGCAGCAUUGCCACCCACUCUGGGUUUCCCCGGGCGACCUCAAGCAUGACUAAAGGAAGGAUGAGCUCACAGAGCUAGCGGGCCUGGGAUCAAACCACUUUUCAUUUAUGAGUAUAAUGAUCUUCCAUUGGGUUGGGUUUCAAGGACCAGAACUCCGGGAAGAAACUCAUUUCCUGGCGGUCUGUGAGAGUCUUGGAAGCAGAGCCUCUGAAUCGCCCACUUCUGUGCUUGUGGAUAACAACAGAGAGCCCAACACUCGUUCCUCUUCCACGGUGUCUACUUAUUUUCUGAAUGAAGAAAAUGAAGUCCUCCCAAAGUUAUGAGACUGGCCCAGUAUUUCUUAUCCUGGUCCAGUGCAUUUCCUGGUCACAAGGCUACUUCUUGGUGAUUUCUAGAAUUGGCGGCUGCAGGCACUGUGGGGACAAAGGACCAGUUUCCAGAAAUACUCCCAGUGCCCACGAAAUUGACUGCCAGCGAUGGGCGGAUAAUGAAUGUUAACAGGC
Molecule: long non-coding RNA, 687 nt
Organism: Molossus molossus (Pallas's mastiff bat)
Lineage: Eukaryota; Metazoa; Chordata; Mammalia; Chiroptera; Molossidae
Exons: 8
Source: RefSeq, a predicted model, not a curated record